UCUUGAGAAUUCAAGGUUUUGAUUAAAUUUCAAAAUUGAAUUAUAGAUCAAUUUGAUUGAGUAAGAUUUAAAAAAACACUAUGCGAAGGACUUUCACGAUGCUUUAUUUGAAUUGCUAUGGUAAAUCACAGUAGAGUUGCAAGAACAUGUCGGUGCAAAUGCAAGAAAGUGGAAUACACAGCCAGAGGCAACUCAACAAGAAAGAAGACCCAGUUGUGAAAGUGGCCCCAGAAACCGAGAGCCCUAUCACGGCAAUGGUAAGAAAAGGUGGGUGUUCCUGGUGAGGCCAGAAACCAUGUCCUUUCGCUUUUUCCAGUCACUUUCAUAGGUGGAAUUAUUUCCCUCCCUAUAAAAGUCAAGAGGCCCUACUCUUCAUAAUUGAAAAAUCAAGAAUAUUUGAAGAUGAGAUAAGGCGGUGCUUUGAUAACUCAAGACAUGGAAGAAUCUAUGGCGGAUAAGGUUUGCAUACUGCUCAUGCUUAAAGGAUACAGCUACUGGGUUUUGGAUCUGUAAGGAUAGAAUCAAGUUAAUUCGGCCAUGUAUGUGAUAGGAAUCAUAAUGAAGGACAAGACAGGGUGCUUUUGACAUCUAGAGAAGUUCUGAUUUUUGGUGGAGGAGGUUCUGUCCUCCUUGUAGAUCGGUUGUUACGAGUAUGCUUUCAUUGGGUAAUACGUUACUCUCUCCUUCCAUUCCAUCAACAUGUUUCUUUUCCUCAUGGGACCUUCGAUGACUUAUCUUAAAACAAAUUUGGAAGUAACCUACCUUACAAGAGAAGGAUCAUGAAAUGCCAACAAAGAGAAGAUGGUGUUUGAAGAUACGGUAACAAUCGCUUUUUUUAAAGUAUUUUUUAUUCGAAAAUAUAUCAAAAUAACAUUGUUUUUACGGCAUUGUAAUCGGAACCUUCUGAUGUUAGCAAUGAAUUGGACAAAGCUUAUAAACAGGAAGAAGGCGCCCUCUAUUCGCGUAUGACAACCUUUUCUUCUGGAGAGGUGAUGGAAUCAAUGGGGUUGUGACCACUUCAUCGUACUCUGUCUACGGGGUUGGGAGAGGUUUAGAUAUUACUGCAGAAGAUGCAAAGCCUGUCGAUUGCUCUCAUUUUCCAUGUCUGCAAUUUGGGUUUAAGAAUAAAAAUAAAAUAAAACCCGUGUCAUUUUCUGAGAAAGGAAAAACCCCUCCUGCCCACACAAAGGGAAGAAAACAGGAUUGUCAAACCAUCGAAGAACUCUAUGAAGAGCAGAGGCGGACACCAUGAGGUUAAAGGUCAGAGUUUAGACAUGUAUCUUGCUUAGCAGGCGGAGUGACAUGUGCCGCCCCUGUUUUUUAUGGCCAUCCACAGCUAACCGCUUUGCCACGUUAAGAUAUGGCAAUGAAGCUAGAGGGUUGACAGAGCACCUGUGCUGGGUGAUCGGAAAAAAACAGAGUCACCUCUGUUCACGAGCAUGUCAACCGAGGAACAAGAGGGCAUCUAGCAAGUUGUAGUGUGCCACGAAUGGGGCACUAAACUGAUGGGCUCUUUCAAUCCUUAAACUGUGAAUCUGAAGGGCAUAUAUUUACGAACAGUUAGCUCAUCAGAAGUCAAUGGAGAACUGGAACUGGGCUUUGGGUUGCCAAGCAAUGAGCUGUUAAAGAGGAGAGAUUUCUUUCUUUAUCUUGUAUAUUCUCAGGAAAAUAAAUAAAUAAGAAGGAAGGCUGUAUAUAGAUUGGCUACCUCUUGGUCAAAUAGAGGAAAGCCUUCAAAGUGUGUGUGUGUGUGUGUGAAUUCUUUUGGGCUUUUUGCAUGCUGGAAAAUUUAUAAACCAUUGGCAAAGCUAGCAACUGAAGCCCCUAGUUUCAUAACAGAGAACGAGAGAAAUCAUGUGAGAUUUAUAUA
This is a long non-coding RNA of Populus trichocarpa (black cottonwood), 1870 nucleotides long. RefSeq lists it as uncharacterized. NCBI's taxonomy places the organism in Eukaryota, Viridiplantae, Streptophyta, Magnoliopsida, Malpighiales, Salicaceae. The transcript is spliced from 2 exons. The record is from RefSeq and is a predicted model, not a curated record.